CCCUGCGCCUUCUGAACUGGCCGCCGGCCUGCGAGUCCCGGCGGCGCAACGCUUGCGGCGCGCGGUCGGGGAGCCGUUUGGUCUCCGUGGCCGUUGGCGCAGUUAGGCUCCUGCCGAGGCGCGGCUCGGAGUGAACGAACUUGGGCGGGUGGAGUUACAGAGUGGCAGAGGCAGAGAGAGCAAGCGAGAGAUCCUACAUCCACUGGUUCACUCUCCAAGUGGCAGCAAUGGCCAGAGCUGCGCUGAUGAGAAGCCAGGAGCUACUUCCAGGUCUCUGAGGCAGGUGCAGGGGCCCAAGGACUUGGGCCAUCUUCUACUGCUUUCCCAGCCACAGCAGAGAGCUGGAUCCGAAGCUGCAGCCGGGACUCAAACCAGAGCUGCAGGCGGCCGCUUUACCUGCUGUACCACAUCGCUGGCCCCUCAUUUAUUUUCAAGACUUACAAAGCCCAUCAAAAUUGUAUCUGUCCUUCAGAUCACAGUUCACUUAUGUGGAGCCCUGAGGAUUUUCCCAGACCUUUAGCUGUUGCCUUUUUACGUUGCAACAGGGUCUUGUAUACCUAACUCUUAAGAUAGCCUAUUGGGUUUUUUUUUUUUUUUAAUUUAUUAUCUGAAAGACACAGAGAGAGGUCUUCCAUCUGCUAGUUCAUUCUCCAAAUGGCCACAAUGGCCAGAGCUGAGCUGAGCUGAAGCCAGGAGCCAGGAGCUUCCUCCAGGUCUCCCACUUGGGUGCAGCACUUGGGUGCUGCUUUCCCAGGUGCAUUAGCAAGAAGCAGGACCAGAAUCAGAGCAGCUGGGACUCAAACUAGCACCCAUAUUGGAUACUGGUGCUGCAGACCCUCUGGGCCACAGUGCUGACACCAAGAUACCCUGUUUUAAAAACCAGGAGCAAAGCCGGCGCCGUGGCUCAAUAGGCUAAUCCUCCACCUUGCGGCGCCGGCACACCGGGUUCUAGUCCCGGUCAGGGCGCCGGAUUCUGUCCCGGUUGCCCCUCUUCCAGGCCAGCUCUCUGCUGUGGCCAGGGAGUGCAGUGGAGGAUGGCCCAGGUGCUUGGGCCCUGCACCCCAUGGGAGACCAGGAAAAGCACCUGGAUCCUGGCUCCUGCCAGGAUCAGCGCGGUGCGCCGGCUGCAGCGGCGGCCAUUGGAGGGUGAACCAACGGCAAAGGAAGACCUUUCUCUCUCUGUCUCUCUCUCUGUCCACUCUGCCUGUCAAAAAUUAAAAAAAUAAAUAAAUAAAAACCAGGAGCAUGCAAGGACAGAAGCUGUGCACUUUGCAUCCUAAACCCAGUUCCUGUCCAGUCCCCCUGCACAUAAGGUUUUUGAGAUUGCUGAAUGGGUGGUCCUUGGGAAAUAAGGGCCCAGCGUAGCUUUCAGGAGAGAAACUGGCAAAUCUAAGGCAGCCCAACUGCCCUGUUUCUUAAGCUUGGAGGACUGCCUGAGAUGGAGAAGCCCUGCAUUCCUGUUGCCCUUGACCUCACGCGCUUUGCCAGGGCUGUCUCUUCCUUUCCUAACUGUGGAUUUUUUGCUCCUGAAGCCUCGUUCUCUCCAAAGUUAUUUCUCCCCACCCCCUGACAAAAAGAAAAAAAAAAAAAAACUUACUGCUGAUGGAACUUUAACAUACAUUGUCAUUUUGGAAUCCAAUUGCAAGCUUUUCCUCAGCACUGUAUAACAUCCAAUUUGAGCACAGCUACAGGUAUACAUUGACAAAACAGUACAUUAAAGAAUUUUUCGUCUAAAUUAGGAUAAAAUGGAAGUAGACAAAAGAAAUCUCCAAGAAGGAGCUGCAACACUUGCUACAGAUGAGAAAAAUAACCUUAAAAACUGCUGCAAUGGAUUGUGAAAGCAAAUAACAAGCGAAACAAUUAUAUAAUUCUGUGUAAAAUCUGUUCUGUUUGAUUGAAAUUUUCUCCAAGAUUCAGAAUGUAAAGACAGUGCCUGACCUUCAGAAAGCUGGACGAUAACGAUAAAAAAAAAAAAAAAAAAAAAACACCACUAAGGUCUUAAAAACCUAGGUUGUAUGUUACCUUUAGCAUCCUCUGACCCUCUUUUAGUAGGUUCAGGAUCAAAGAUAAGAAAGAAAGGUGAAUGAAUUAGUAACUUGCUUAUUGAGGAAUCUGCCUUGAAACGUGAGGUGGCCAAUCCUGAGAUAUUUUCAUUUUGCUCCAAUUAAAAAAAAAAAAGAACCAUGAGCUUAAGACUUUGAAUUAUUUUUGCUUUAGGAGAAACACUAGAAUGUUCUGUGAAAUGACUGGGCAUGAUCAGUAGCACUGGUUAUUUGUUAAGUCUGACAAACUACUUGUUACUUUUGUUUUCUCUGUUUUCAUAUGUAAGGUGAAUUUGAUUGAAUAUAUUAUUCUAUGCACUCCCAACCGUGAGUUUAGUAGGCCUUUUACAAACAUUCCAAAUAUUUCUUGUGAUGCUGGAAAUCUCUUACGUUCUCGAAGUCUGCAUUCAGCCUAUGGAUCACACCAAGAGAACAUGCAGCUCUUAAUACCCAUUGGAUAAGGAACCCCAGACUUGCUGAGCCUAGCUAGUGUUCACCGCAACAGUAGGCAGAAGUCAAUAGAUGCUAUUAUUGAACUUUAUCCUUUUUUUAAUAGCUCAAAUAAAACUGCUGAGUUAAAAGAAAAAACUGAAGAAGUAAAACUUAGCGUUUUGAAAGAAUGUCUGUCAGUUCAUUGACCGUGGAUAACAUCCUGGCUCAUUGUAGAGGAAUUGCUCAGAUAGUGACUGUAGGUUCUUUGUUAAGGAAAAUGCUAGCUAGCUCAUCACCGCACCAUGACAACAGCCAAAGAAGGAAAACAUAAAUUAUAUUAUGAUUUAACUUAGGUGAGAUAAAGAAAUUACACCCCACCCAGGAGCCAGAAAUACCUUAGAAAAUCAGAAACAGCUCCUGAGUCCCAUGACCAUUUGGAGCCUCUUGGAUAUUCUGGCCUCAGACCUGUGGCCCAUUUUCUGAGGGCUUGAUUGGGUUGCCUGCUGUUUAGGGCAGGCAGCAGCCAAGAACUCCCAUUGCCACCCUCAAAGGGGAUUCAGAAAUUAACUCAGCAUAGGAGACAGACCUAGCGAAAUUGACAGUCUUUCAUAAUUUACCCCCAAAUUUCCCUUUAGUUUAAAUCCCAUUACCUCUGUAAACUAUUAGUGUGCUGGGUGAUUAGGGAUCUAAAAAUAAUAUGAGUUGAUACCUGCCUUCUCAGAGCUUGCAAUCAAGUUGAGGAAACAAGACACAUAACCAAGAAAUAGAGUACAAGAAGCAUAUGUGUAAUAACACAUGUGCAAGGGUAAGUGCAAGCACUUAGAAUGUGCCAGUCACUCUGCCAACCACUGAAAGGGUCGCGUCAGUAGAUUCGGACAGAAGCCCUCUGCCAGAGGCAUUAUAAUUAUUAUUACCCUGUGCAUUGUACACUUCAGGAAGUAAUCUUGGUUUCUGCUCUAGAGCCCCAUGGCGUAAACUGGAGAGCCAGGGUGGGCAACCAAGCCAUAAUUAUUCAUUAGAAGAAUGAUGGAUAAAUUAUUGUAUGGUUUACUACCAUGGACAUAGAGAUAUAAUUUAUAGUUACUUAUCAUGAUGCUAAUUUAUCCACUAACUGUAAUUCUGGGGGAAGAGGUGAGUAGGUUAUCAUUUUCACCAUUUUCAUUUGUAUAAAGAAAUUUAAUUCACUUCUACAGGAAAUUAUAAUACUGUGUUGGGUUUUUAUAUUUAGUUUCUGUAGAAAAAGCCCAGAAAUUAUGUGAAAAGUGUCACCAUUUUCUAGUGGAUAGAUAAAUUUGAGCAACUAACAAUGUAAAUAAUGACUUUUUCAUACCCAAACUCGAAGUCCAGUGUUGUUACUAUUUCAUCGGAUACGUAGAACUUUCAUUUGCUGCCUCAGCUCCUGUAAAAGUCAAACAAAACCUUCAUGCACUCCUUACCGUGAGCCACAUUUCCAAAGGAUCGGAGCUAUAAAGGCGUAGCAUGAAAAUUGAGACGAUGUAUUCAACGUGAAAUUCAGCUGUUCAAAAAACAAAUCAACAUGUUCUUUUGAAAUUUUGUUAAAUCCAGGGUUCCUUGUUCCUGAUCAUACCACUUUCCUUGUUUGACAGAGGUCACCAAGAAAGAGCAUAUGGCUGGGUUUCAGAUGGCAGGCCCUUUAAUUCAACCCACUUUGGUUAGCUAUGGUGAAAGGCAGCCACAGUUCCAGGAGGAUGCGCCUGCAGGAAAUGCCUCGAGCUCUAUUAGUUCAGAAUGUAGUCAAGUGUAACCACAGUGGUUCCUCUUUCAGGAGCUGUCAUGCACAUCUGCUUUGGGGUUCCAGCUGCCAGUGUUUGGCCUGUAUUAAAAAAAAAAAAAAACUAAAA
This is a non-coding RNA of Oryctolagus cuniculus (rabbit), 4336 nucleotides long. The record is from RefSeq and is a predicted model, not a curated record. NCBI's taxonomy places the organism in Eukaryota, Metazoa, Chordata, Mammalia, Lagomorpha, Leporidae.